CCAGGGUUUAAGACAAUUGUUUUAAAUAGACUAAGUUGGCAGAAGGUAUAUCUAAUGACGUACCAACGAAACAUCGCAAAGUUUUGGGAAUGGGGGCGGAAGAUUGUAUGUGUAGGUCGUAAUUAUGUUGACCACUGUGCAGAACUUAAGAACCCAGUGCCUAAAUCUCCACUGAUAUUCUUAAAACCAACUUCUUCGUACGUUCGCGAGGGCAGUGCAGUCAAAAUACCUACAGGGUGUAGUACCUUGCACCAUGAAGUGGAACUUGGGAUUGUUAUUUCCAAAAAAGGCGGUGACAUACAAACGGACAAGGCCAUGGACCAUGUGGGGGGAUAUGUGCUGGCAUUGGAUAUGACAGCAAGGGAUUGGCAAGACGUUGCAAAGAGCCAAGGCAAGCCAUGGUCAAUGGCUAAAGGCUUUGACACAGCGUGUCCUGUCAGUGACUUCAUUGAGAAAGACAAAAUUUCUGAUCCUCAUAAUAUAAAGCUAUGGUUGAAAGUGAAUAAUGAAAUGAAACAAAAUGGAUCAACCAAGGAUAUGAUAUUCAAUAUACCCUACCUGAUACAUUAUGUUAGUACAGUAAUGCAUCUUGAAGAAGGUGAUGUCAUUUUGACGGGAACCCCAGAGGGAGUGGGCCCGGUCAAAUCUGGUGAUGUCAUGGAAUGUGGAAUAGAGUCUGUUAUUUCUAUGAAAUUUCCAGUUCAAAUGAAAUAAUUAUAACACCACUAAUAAAUGUCGUUCAUUAAUUCUAUUGUUAUAAUCUGAAAAUCUAUUGCAAUAAAUGUUUUUGGUACUGCUGUAGUUUACAAUUAGUUGAUUGAAUUCUUCAUAACAAACAUAUACAAAAUAUGCAUUGGGGAUUUAAAUAUUUAUGUACAUCAAAACGGGGUGUAAAUAAUUUAAUGUUUUAAACCUCAUUCCUGCAAAGUUUUAUUUAGUCGGCUUUGGUGCUUUAUUUAAUAGUCUGAUAAAUUUUUUUCGUCAAAAAUUUUUUUUACAGAUUUUAUGAUAUAUAUAUAUAUAAUAUUAACCACAGUUCAAAUUUCCAUAAGUUAUUUAGGAUAUGUAUCCCUUCAACUUGUGUGUCUUCUUUUUAAAUUUUAAAACAUAAGGGAAUGUUUAGUUUUUCCAACCUUGUCCUAUUUCACAGACAUUAUGUCGCUCAUAUAUUUAUAAUAACAAUGUAUCCCAUGAAUCGAAGGUUGUUUAACAUAGUUGGGUGUGCGUUGUUUUGGACCUGAAUCAUGUCAACAUACAAUCCACAUGAGGGCAGAGGAGAGCGAAUUGUGACGAAAUUCAAGAUCAAUUUGCCGCCAACGAUUAAAAUAACGAAAAGUGAACUCAAGAUCAGGAAACCGAUUCUUAAACAUUUGCUGAGCAAGUUUACACACGGGAAUCCUACAAUGAAACAUGUGAAAGCCACAUUUAGUGCCCCGGUGCCCGUGAAAGCCAGCAAUGAAUUCUCACUGUCAGUAUCUGAACCAGUCAUGCAUAAAGCGACCGCAUCGUUUUCAUGGGAACUCCCAGUUUCAGUGAAUAAUCCUGAACAUACAAGGCUGUUUGUACGACCACCUGUAUCAAGCAAUGAUCAAAACCACACAUCGUUUAACAAGAGCGAACCGCUUUUAGUUAACGACCCAAACAACACCCAAGUUAUAAUCGAACAACAACCACAAUUCACAAGCAAACCUACAGAUAGUUCGCUUGAAUGGAAUCUGCCGGAGUUCUCGGAAAAAAUGAUGUCCGUGCUUGAACAGUCUGUGCCUAUUAUGUCUAAUGAUAAAGUGCCUGUCCUGGAACAAAGUAUUCCAGUGAUAUCAGAUGACCAAGAGUCUGUUCUACUUCAUAACAUUCCCCUUAUAUGUAAUGAAACACCUGCCGAUCUAAAACACAACAUUCCCGAAAUGGACGGCAACGCUUCCAACUUUGUUCUGCUUAAAAACAUCCCAGACUUAGAGUUGAUUGAAUAUACAUUGGAACAAAGCAUACCACUGCUAUACUUAGUUAACACAGAGCUUAUUUUCCCUUUUCCUGAACUGCUGGAGGUUCCAACAACAUUAGAACACAACAGACCUUUGAUGAAAGUGGUUGAAUCAAUCCUCAUUCACCGCAAACCUUUACUUGCUGAUCUAACAACCGUUCUUGAACACAACAAACCAUUACUUCAUUAUAUAGAAGACAUAGUGGAAAACAACCAUCCACAAUUACUCGAUGUUCCACAAAUAUUUGAGAUUGCUGAACCCAUUCUAAUAUUAGAUGAAGAUUAAUAUUUAGAAUCACCCAAGAUUUAUUUCAAUCACCUGUAGUCAUCAGAAAAUAUAAAUUUAGCAACUUUUUAACAUUA
Non-coding RNA from Ciona intestinalis (vase tunicate), 2344 nucleotides. The record is from RefSeq and is a predicted model, not a curated record. Lineage: Eukaryota; Metazoa; Chordata; Ascidiacea; Phlebobranchia; Cionidae.